CUAACCAGGAUUCUCCUAGUAACGGCGAGUGAACGGAGAUUAGCCCAUCACCGAAGCCUGCGUGUGUUUGCAUGCUAGGCAAUGUGGUGUUAAGGUGUGUACCUGGGAUCGUGUACCUACCCGAAGUCUAAAUCCGAUUGUGGCUUUGGAUUCAUUCCAUAGCGGGUGAAAGUCCCGUGCGGGUAGGACUAUUGCAAAUCGCACGGUCCUCAGAUGUGCAUGCUUUCGAGUCGGAUUGCUUGAGAAUGCAGUCCAAAGUGGGUGGUAAACUCCAUCCAAGGCUAAAUACUGGCACGAGUCCGAUAGUAGACAAGUACCGUGAGGGAAAGUUGAAAAGUACUCUGAAGAGAGAGUAAAUAGUACGUGAAGCCGAUUGCAGGGAAGCUGGUGGAGUCAAGCUUCGUGCUUGGUGGAUUGAUGCUGGGAGCAGGUGUGUGAUUUGGAUGUGAGGAUGGACAACUUGGAAUAAGUUGGGUGUGUUCUGAAUGCACUUCAAGUCAUUCCGGGUAGAGUGUUAUGAGCUGUCCUCGCUUUCCUACUCUCAGUGUUGUAUUCUCCGCUGCACAGGCCACAGUCAGUAGGUGCAUGCGGUAUGAGGGCCUAACUGUGCUUCGGCGGGUGCAAGCUCGCCGGGUGCAGGAUGGCAGGUGCUGUCUUCGGGCCUUGUGUCUGUUGAUAGUUGUUGUGGUUUUGACCGGCUGGUCCUCAUACUGUAUUGUGCUUAUUGCCUAUGAGUGGCGUAGCUUCCUCGGAAGUUGCGCUCUGUAGAACUGUGGCUCUGAGGUAGAC
This 789-nucleotide small RNA is filed under the name Cichlidogyrus cirratus. RNAcentral describes it as "eukaryotic LSU rRNA". It matches the Rfam family "Eukaryotic large subunit ribosomal RNA", at positions 65 to 630 of the family's 3401-position model. Lineage: Eukaryota; Metazoa; Platyhelminthes; Monogenea; Dactylogyridea; Ancyrocephalidae. The record is from RNAcentral.